GACGAACGCUGGCGGCGUGCCUAAUACAUGCAAGUCGAGCGGACGGAUGGGAGCUUGCUCCCAGACCGUCAGCGGCGGACGGGUGAGUAACACGUGGGCAACCUGCCUGUAAGACUGGGAUAACUCCGGGAAACCGGGGCUAAUACCGGAUAACUCUUUCCCUCCCCUGAGGGAAAGCUGAAAGAUGGCAUCUCGCUAUCACUUACAGAUGGGCCCGCGGCGCAUUAGCUAGUUGGUGAGGUAACGGCUCACCAAGGCGACGAUGCGUAGCCGACCUGAGAGGGUGAUCGGCCACACUGGGACUGAGACACGGCCCAGACUCCUACGGGAGGCAGCAGUAGGGAAUCUUCCGCAAUGGACGAAAGUCUGACGGAGCAACGCCGCGUGAGUGAUGAAGGUUUUCGGAUCGUAAAACUCUGUUGUCAGGGAAGAACAAGUACCGGAGUAACUGCCGGUACCUUGACGGUACCUGAACAGAAAGCCACGGCUAACUACGUG
Molecule: ribosomal RNA, 498 nt
Filed under: uncultured bacterium
Lineage: Bacteria
Description: partial 16S ribosomal RNA
Rfam family: Bacterial small subunit ribosomal RNA
Source: RNAcentral